Molecule: ribosomal RNA, 527 nt
Filed under: uncultured bacterium
Lineage: Bacteria
Description: bacterial SSU rRNA
Rfam family: Bacterial small subunit ribosomal RNA
Source: RNAcentral
AACGAACGCUGGCGGCAGGCUUAACACAUGCAAGUCGAACGCCCCUCCUUCAAGCAAGCUUGAAGGAUCUUUUUUUCCGCCGGGAGGCGGGGAUGGGAUCAAGAAAGCCCAGGCUUUCUUGAUGGAGGGGAGUGGCAGACGGGUGAGUAACGCGUGGGAACAUACCCAUCACUACGGAAUAACUCAGGGAAACUUGUGCUAAUACCGUAUACGACCGAGAGGUGAAAGAUUUAUCGGUGAUGGAUUGGCCCGCGUUGGAUUAGCUAGUUGGUGGGGUAAAGGCCUACCAAGGCGACGAUCCAUAGCUGGUCUGAGAGGAUGAUCAGCCACAUUGGGACUGAGACACGGCCCAAACUCCUACGGGAGGCAGCAGUGGGGAAUAUUGGACAAUGGGCGCAAGCCUGAUCCAGCCAUGCCGCGUGAGUGAUGAAGGCCUUAGGGUUGUAAAGCUCUUUCACCGGAGAAGAUAAUGACGGUAUCCGGAGAAGAAGCCCCGGCUAACUUCGUGCCAGCCGCCGCGGUAACAC